RNAcentral lists this ribosomal RNA (475 nucleotides) under uncultured soil bacterium. RNAcentral describes it as "bacterial SSU rRNA". It matches the Rfam family "Bacterial small subunit ribosomal RNA", at positions 26 to 518 of the family's 1533-position model. The record is from RNAcentral.
AGGACGAACGCUGGCGGCGUGCUUAACACAUGCAAGUCGAGCGAGGCCCCACCUUCGGGUGGGUGUCCUAGCGGCGAACGGGUGAGUAACACGUGGGCAACCUGCCCCUAGCACUGGGAUAACUCCGGGAAACCGGGGCUAAUACCGGAUACGACUUCGGAAGGCAUCUUCUGAAGUGGAAAGGGUUACUGGCUAGGGAUGGGCCCGCGGCCUAUCAGCUUGUUGGUGGGGUAACGCCUACCAAGGCUCCGACGGGUAGCCGGCCUGAGAGGGCGACCGGCCACGACGUGGGACUGAGACACGGCCCAGACUCCUACGGGAGGCAGCAGUGGGGAAUAUGCACAAUGGGCGAAAGCCUGAUGCAGCGACGCCGCGUGAGGGAUGACGGCCUUCGGUUGUAACCUCUUCGGCAGGGACGAAGCGAAAGUGACGGUCUGCAGAAGAAGCGACCGGCAACGUACGUGCCAGCAGCCGC